UGGGGAAUUUUGGACAAUGGGCGAAAGCCUGAUCCAGCCAUGCCGCGUGAGUGAAGAAGGCCUUCGGGUUGUGAAGCUCUUUCAGCCGGAAAGAAAUCGCGCAGGCUAAUACUCUGCGUGGAUGCCGGUACCGGAAGAAGAAGCACCGGCUAACUACGUGCCAGCAGCCGCGGUAAUACGUAGGGUGCGAGCGCUAAUCGGAAUUACUGGGCGUAAAGCGUGCGCAGGCGGUUAUAUAAGACAGAUGUGAAAUCCCCGGGCUCAACCUGGGAACUGCGUUUGUGGUAGUAUGACUAGAGUACGGCAGAGGGAGGUAGAAUUACGCGUGUAGCAGUGAAAUGCGUAGAUAUGCGGAGGAACACCGAUGACGAAGGCAGCCUCCUGGGCCAGUACUGACGCUCAUGCACGGAAGCGUGGGGAGCAAACA
Molecule: ribosomal RNA, 427 nt
Filed under: uncultured bacterium
Lineage: Bacteria
Description: bacterial SSU rRNA
Rfam family: Bacterial small subunit ribosomal RNA
Source: RNAcentral